CCUACGGGCGGCUGCAGUGGGGAAUCUUGGACAAUGGGCGCAAGCCUGAUCCAGCCAUGCCGCGUGAGUGAAGAAGGCCUUAGGGUUGUAAAGCUCUUUUGCCAGGGACGAUAAUGACGGUACCUGGAGAAUAAGCCCCGGCAAACUUCGUGCCAGCAGCCGCGGUAAUACGAAGGGGGCUAGCGUUGUUCGGAAUUACUGGGCGUAAAGCGCACGUAGGCGGGUUGUUAAGUCAGGGGUGAAAUCCCGGAGCUCAACUCCGGAACUGCCUUUGAUACUGGCAACCUAGAGGCUGGAAGAGGUUAGUGGAAUUCCCAGUGUAGAGGUGAAAUUCGUAGAUAUUGGGAAGAACACCAGUGGCGAAGGCGGCUAACUGGUCCAGUACUGACGCUGAGGUGCGAAAGCGUGGGGAGCAAACAGGAUUAGAUACCCCAGUAGUCC
RNAcentral lists this ribosomal RNA (441 nucleotides) under uncultured Hyphomicrobiales bacterium. Its description in RNAcentral is "bacterial SSU rRNA". It matches the Rfam family "Bacterial small subunit ribosomal RNA", at positions 338 to 796 of the family's 1533-position model. Lineage: Bacteria; Pseudomonadati; Pseudomonadota; Alphaproteobacteria; Hyphomicrobiales. The record is from RNAcentral.